This 621-nucleotide ribosomal RNA is filed under the name Triticum aestivum (bread wheat). RNAcentral's name for it is "partial small subunit ribosomal RNA". The record is from RNAcentral. Lineage: Eukaryota; Viridiplantae; Streptophyta; Magnoliopsida; Poales; Poaceae.
AUGGCACAUAAUAGAGCCCCCGACCCAGAUAAUAUACCUGUUGAAUUCUAUCAGGUGUGCUGGGAUAUAGUUAAAGAUGAUAUUAUGAGGCUUUUUGAGAGUUUUCACAAAGGGACUUUGGAUGUGCAACGUCUCAAUUAUGGUGUGAUUACUCUUUUACCCAAAACUGCUGGCGCGCAUAAAAUCCAGCAAUUUAGACCUAUAUGUCUCCUGAGAUGUCCAUAUAAGCUUACCGCUAAAGUUUUGGAUCGGCGAGUGGAGAGGUACGCUGAUAAGCUCAUUAGCUCGACCCAGAAUGCUUUUGUUAAGGGGAGAAGCAUUAUGGACGGGGUGCUGUCGCUCCAUGACAUUUUAAACUAUACUCAUGUGAAAAAGAGGGUGAGGGUUGUCCUGAAGUUAGACUUUGAAAAGGCAUACGAUAAAGUGAACUGGGACUUUCUAUUGGAAUGUCACAAGCUUCGAGGCUUUAGUGACACGUGGUGCGGCUGGAUUAAGCAGAUCUUGCACAACGGUAUAGUGAGUAUCAAACUCAAUAACCAGGUUGGUCCAUAUUUCCAGAGUGCUAAGGGCAUUAGACAAGGGGACCCCCCACUCCCCUUUCCUUUUCAACCUAGCAGCUGA